CCGCGGGAACCCGCGCCGCAGAGCGGGGCCCGCCAGCGCCACCCGCCGGCCGCGGGGCCGUACCGCGCCUCCCCCCGUCUCCCCCUGCUCCGGCUCUCAAUGUUCCACACUGCCCGGCCACAGAGCCGCCGCCGCCGCCGUAUAGCCCCCCGGCCGCCUCCGUCCCCUCCUCGGGCGCCGCGGGCCCGGCCCGGCCCCCCGCCAUCCCGCCCCUCCGACCCAGCAGCGGGACAGGACGCCGGCGAAGUGCCCCACAAUGUCCAGUGAUAGGCAGAGGUCAGAUGAUGAAAGUCCAAGUACCAGCAGUGGUAGUUCAGAUGCCGAUCAGAGGGAUCCACCUGCACCUGAACCUGAAGAGCAAGAAGAGCGAAAACCAUCUGCCACUCAGCAGAAGAAGAACACCAAACUAUCCAGCAAAACUACUGCUAAGCUGUCUACCAGUGCUAAAAGAAUCCAGAAGGAGCUAGCUGAAAUAACCCUUGAUCCUCCUCCUAACUGCAGUGCUGGUCCUAAAGGAGAUAACAUUUAUGAGUGGAGAUCUACUAUACUUGGACCUCCAGGUUCUGUAUAUGAAGGAGGUGUUUUUUUCUUGGAUAUCACAUUUUCAUCUGACUAUCCAUUCAAGCCACCAAAGGUUACUUUCCGUACCAGAAUUUAUCACUGCAACAUCAACAGUCAGGGAGUCAUCUGUCUGGACAUCCUGAAAGACAACUGGAGCCCUGCUUUGACUAUUUCAAAGGUUCUGCUGUCUAUUUGUUCUCUUCUGACAGACUGCAACCCAGCUGACCCUCUGGUUGGAAGCAUAGCCACUCAGUACCUGACCAACAGAGCAGAACAUGACAGGAUAGCCAGACAGUGGACCAAGAGAUAUGCAACAUAAAUGACAAACUACUUGUGCAGUGUGAAGGUGCAGAAGGCAACUUUGCAGUGUGCAACAAAUCUUUAUAGCCUUUACAAUACGGACUUCUGUGUAUAUGUUAUACUGAUUCUACUCUGCUUUUAUCCUUUUGAAGACUGGGAUACUGCCCCCUAAAAAGAUUUGUGGACUCAGCAGCACUUGCCUGCACUGUGAUGGAAGAGCUGCAAGGCUUUGGCUGAGGGGCUUUGCACCAUUGGUGUAGCUCUGAGCUGCAGGGCAGCACCAGUUGCCCCUUUGCCGCUGCUGCCAUGGCUUCCUUGUAGCCCUGCCCAGGUCACCACAGCACUGGAGGGGAAGAAGCUGGAGACUACAGCAGCUUCUACAUUGAUCCUGUGGUCUUCUGCUCAUGAGGUUUCAUCUGUGUGAAUACAGACGGCAAAGGACGGACUCCUGACUCCAAGUUAAGGAAUAAAUUUCAUCUUUUCUGCAUUUUCUUCAAAAAAACUCACCAGUGGAUAUUUAUGUGAAAGAGCAAAGGCCUGUGCAGGCAUCCUGCACUAAAAGAGCUUCGAAGGACAGUGACAGUAGCAUGACUAAAGUAAGAUUUGAUUCAGCCAUAAAGCACUGUAUUCCUGCAGCCCAUGGCAUAGCCAGGGAAAUAGAUGUGUUUGAGAACUUAAUGCUGCUUCAGGUACAGUAUCAGUUCAACCUUUGCAUAGUGGUGCUGCUUGCAUUUGUACUGCAUGAUGAUAACAUCCAAUGCUAAAUCACCAGUCCCUUUUGCUCACUAACCACCCUAGCUGAAAGUAGCUGGAGAGGAUCCUCAGACAACAGUAGAGAUGGUGUAAUAGAGCAGAUGUUUAAAAGUAAAAAGUGAGGCAGCAUCACAGCUGCUAGGACUGGUGCCUAACCUUGCUGGUAUCGAUGACAAUUCAACGUGUUCAACUGCAGCAGAGGUAGAAGAGCAAAUAAUGCAUUUGGAAGAUAACUGCUGGAACAUUUGCAGCAAUAGAGGCUUUUGCUCUUUUCUUCUUAAAGAAAGAAACCUGCUUCAGCUUGUCUUCCCACACCUCUCUGCAUGCAUGUAUCUCUGGAGUGCAGUUAUGGUUGCCUCUGUUGCUGGAUAGAGCAGAAAGCAUCGAGCGUACUAGCAACAAUUUGUGGGGGUCUUUAAAAAUAAAACCUGCCAAGAACAGAUAGAAUAAGAGGCAUAGUGUGAAAAAUACAUGGUUUAUCUGCUCAGGAUGGCUAUGUCUGAGCACACACUUUGCAUCUAUAGGGAUAGAAGAUGUGGUGGGACCACAUGCAUGGAUAACUAAUGCAUGUAGUUGUCUGUUUCAUUGUUGCUAUUGCUUCUUUGCAGGUAAUGUGUGGAAAAUACUUUCUGUUUAUGUGGUGUUUCCAAAAUACCAGGAAGCAUUUUGUAACUUUGUUGUCCAAGAUAAAUAUCUUUUUGAACCAUCCUAAAUUGUUACCCUCCACAACAUCCUUUGACAGUGAAUGGUGCAGUUAAAUUAAAGACCAUGUGAGAAAGCAUUUUGUUUGUUAAGUGAUUAUUUCA
This is an RNA transcript of Pogoniulus pusillus (Red-fronted tinkerbird), 2420 nucleotides long. It is a transcript of the gene named ubiquitin conjugating enzyme E2 E3, with no coding region annotated. Lineage: Eukaryota; Metazoa; Chordata; Aves; Piciformes; Lybiidae. The transcript has 7 exons. The record is from RefSeq and is a predicted model, not a curated record.